RNAcentral lists this long non-coding RNA (726 nucleotides) under Marmota monax (woodchuck). The record is from RNAcentral. Lineage: Eukaryota; Metazoa; Chordata; Mammalia; Rodentia; Sciuridae.
CUUGAUUGGCAUUAUUAUUCACGUUAACAACAACAACAAAAACCUAGAAAAGGAAAAGAGAGUUUAAAUCAUUCCUCAUCUUAAAAAAAAAAAAAAGACUCUAAAACCAUGAUAUGUAAUGACAAAAAGCACUAGCUAAAAGUUAUAUGCUAGGAGAUUAUAUAGAAGCAAAGAGAGAAUCAGGAUCAGAUUUUAAGUAAAAUCGUUUCAAGAUUGACCAGAUUAUAUUAUAAAAUAUGGAAAUGUAAUUAUUUACUAACCUCAUUUUAGAUAGUGACCACAGGAAAAAGUCAGGACAGUCAUAACAGAUGGAGCAAAUGAAAGGCCCCCAAAUGUACCUUUGCCAAAUUACUUGUUAUUGGAGGUAGUGUUUGUACAAAAUCAAAUCUGAUCCAUAGAAAGGACUCACUGAGUGUCAGAAGAAAGCAAACUAUGAAUUAGAUUUACUUUAUCUGUUUUUAGAAUGGAAAGAAUUAUAUCAAAAGUUCUUGAGUUUAAAUGAGAUAAUCCUUAGUGAUUUGUGGGACCCUGGACUGGGAGGAUUUCUGAUACUAAAGCCAGGAGAUUUUUUAAAAGAUGGCAUAUGUAACUGUAUUAUGUGUGUUUUCUUUGUGUUUAAAUUACAUCACAUUCAUUUGUCAUCGAACAUGUGAAGAUAGAUGUUUGCAAACACUGAGAUGCUAACUUUAAAAAAGUCCACAGGUCAUCAGUUUUUUCUAAUAUUAA